GUGAUCAGCACUGAACACAGACACUCACCAUGGAGUCUGGGCUCCGCUGGCUUUUCCUUUUUGCUGUAUUAAAAGGUGUCCAGUGUGAGGUGCAGCUGGUGGAGUCUGGGGGAGGCUUGGUCCAGCCUGGGGGGUCCCUGAGACUCUCCUGUGCAGCCUCCGGAUUCACCUUCAGUAACUACUGGAUGAACUGGGUCCGCCAGGCUCCAGGGAAGGGGCUGGAGUGGGUUGGUUUUAUUAGAAACCAGGCUAAUGGUGGGACAGCAGAAUAUGCUGCAUCUGUGAAAGGCAGAUUCACCAUCUCACGGGAUGAUUCCAAAAGCACCGUCUCUCUGCAAAUGAACAGUCUGAGAGCCGAAGACACGGACCUGUACUACUGUGCCAGUGACACAGUGAGGGGACAUCAGUGUGAGCCCAGAAGCUUCAAGAGUGUCCAUCCCCUACACAUCUUAGGUGAUAUUCAGGGAAACCAGUUUGAUGAGCUGAGCUGCCACGUCCUGAUCACUGUCCAAGAACCAGCUGUCCCUGCAGCUGAGCUCUGUGCCCACGAAGGGCAGUGCCGGAUUCACCAUGGGACACACAGUGAGGGGACAUCAGUGCGGGCCCAGACACAGACCUCCCUGCAGGGGCGCUCGUGGCCGCCAGGGGGCGCCCGGGACCCCCGAGCCCAGAGCCGGCCUGGGCAGGUGCGGGGGGAGGGGAAGGGCCGGGUUCCUGUCGGGGUCCUGGCUUCCUCUCCAUAG
This is a non-coding RNA of Lemur catta (Ring-tailed lemur), 743 nucleotides long. Lineage: Eukaryota; Metazoa; Chordata; Mammalia; Primates; Lemuridae. The record is from the annotation of a RefSeq genome assembly.